GACGAACGCUGGCGGCGUGCUUAACACAUGCAAGUCGAACGGAAAGGCCCUUCGGGGUACUCGAGUGGCGAACGGGUGAGUAACACGUGGGUGAUCUGCCCUGCACUUUGGGAUAAGCCUGGGAAACUGGGUCUAAUACCGAAUAGGAUCAUCGGCUUCAUGGUCGGUGGUGGAAAGCUUUUGCGGUGUGGGAUGGGCCCGCGGCCUAUCAGCUUGUUGGUGGGGUAAUGGCCUACCAAGGCGACGACGGGUAGCCGGCCUGAGAGGGUGACCGGCCACACUGGGACUGAGAUACGGCCCAGACUCCUACGGGAGGCAGCAGUGGGGAAUACUGCACAAUGGGCGCAAGCCUGAUGCAGCGACGCCGCGUGAGGGAUGACGGCCUUCGGGUUGUAAACCUCUCUCAGCAGGGACGAAGCGCAAGUGACGGUACCUGUAGAAGAAGGACCGGCCAACUACGUGCCAGCCGCCGCCGUAA
This 478-nucleotide ribosomal RNA is filed under the name uncultured bacterium. Its description in RNAcentral is "partial 16S ribosomal RNA". It matches the Rfam family "Bacterial small subunit ribosomal RNA", at positions 28 to 523 of the family's 1533-position model. The record is from RNAcentral.